CGUGCGCGCGGCGGGGGACGCGCUCGCCGCGCUGCUGCCGCGGUCGCGGCGCGGCGGCACCGAGGAUCCCGCUGCCGCGGUGCGCGC
RNAcentral lists this transfer RNA (87 nucleotides) under Capillimicrobium parvum. Its description in RNAcentral is "tRNA-Ser". Lineage: Bacteria; Bacillati; Actinomycetota; Thermoleophilia; Solirubrobacterales; Capillimicrobiaceae. The record is from RNAcentral.